GACGAACGCUGGCGGCGUGCUUAACACAUGCAAGUCGAACGGUAAGGCCCUUCGGGGUACACGAGUGGCGAACGGGUGAGUAACACGUGGGUGAUCUGCCCUGCACUUCGGGAUAAGCCUGGGAAACUGGGUCUAAUACCGGAUAGGACCGCCGCCUGCAUGGGUGGUGGUGGAAAGCUUUUGCGGUGUGGGAUGGGCCCGCGGCCUAUCAGCUUGUUGGUGGGGUGAUGGCCUACCAAGGCGACGACGGGUAGCCGGCCUGAGAGGGUGACCGGCCACACUGGGGCUGAGAGACGGCCCAGACUCCUACGGGAGGCAGCAGGGGGGAAUAUUGCACGAUGGGCGCAAGCCUGAUGCAGCGACGCCGCGUGAGGGAUGACGGCCUUCGGGUUGUAAACCUCUUUCAGCACCGACGAAGCGCAAGUGACGGUAGGUGCAGAAGGAGGACCGGCCAACUACGUGCCAGCCGCCGCAGUAA
Molecule: ribosomal RNA, 478 nt
Filed under: uncultured bacterium
Lineage: Bacteria
Description: partial 16S ribosomal RNA
Rfam family: Bacterial small subunit ribosomal RNA
Source: RNAcentral